RNAcentral lists this unclassified non-coding RNA (403 nucleotides) under Hevea brasiliensis (rubber tree). Lineage: Eukaryota; Viridiplantae; Streptophyta; Magnoliopsida; Malpighiales; Euphorbiaceae. The record is from RNAcentral.
GUUGGGUUCCAUUACGAGCGUUGCAGGCAGUAAAACUAGAACAGCAAUUGGCGACAUGUAAAGCAGUAGAUUCAUGGAGUUCAACUUUUCCCCUUCAUUGGAAAGAAGGACGCCUUGAAGAACAGACUUAAAGGCUCUAGCAGCAGUUGCACCUAUACACAUGAUAAAUCCAUAAAGGUGGAAGCUUGGCUCACCCCCACUAGCAAUCACAACACCAGCAACCACAGGAACAAGACAACCAUAAGUAAUCCAAGCUUCCCUCUUCUGAGUGAUCAGAUAAGCAAACAAAGCUGUGAAAAACGGUGUCGUUGCACCGACAGCUUGAUUGAAUGAUACAGGAAGAUACCUUAAAGAAAUGUUCCCACCCACAACAGACCCACAAAAGACAAUGCUAAGAGUAGCA